AUUGAACGCUGGCGGCAUGCCUUACACAUGCAAGUCGAACGGCAGCACGGGAGCAAUCCUGGUGGCGAGUGGCGAACGGGUGAGUAAUAUAUCGGAACGUGCCCAGUCGUGGGGAUAACGUAGCGAAAGCUACGCUAAUACCGCAUACUAUCUAUGGAUGAAAGCGGGGGAUCGCGAGACCUCGCGCGAUUGGAGCGGCCGAUAUCAGAUUAGGUAGUUGGUGAGGUAAAGGCUCACCAAGCCGACGAUCUGUAGCUGGUCUGAGAGGACGACCAGCCACACUGGGACUGAGACACGGCCCAGACUCCUACGGAGGCAGCAGUGGGGAAUUUUGGACAAUGGGCGCAAGCCUGAUCCAGCAAUGCCGCGUGCAGGAUGAAGGCC
Molecule: ribosomal RNA, 384 nt
Filed under: uncultured bacterium
Lineage: Bacteria
Description: bacterial SSU rRNA
Rfam family: Bacterial small subunit ribosomal RNA
Source: RNAcentral